CGUCGGGUUCGUGGUGUGGAAGAGUAAGUGGGGUAAAGGCAGAGGGCUGCGGAGGCUGGGGGCUGGGGGCUGUGGGGGGAGCCCAGAUGCCCUCGGGAGCCUCCCUGCUCCCCCCGCUGUGAGCCCGUUGCUGACGUUCCUUUCUGUCUGCAGGGAAGGGGCAGCAGGGUUACAGAGCGGCACCAGGCCUCGACCGGGGAAGCGGUGGCUCAGCCGCAGGGAGCGAACGUUCCACCUGAGCACUGUGCUUGCUUCAGCCGGCCCCGCGUGCCGGUGGGGUUUGUGGACGGGCGUAGCUCCGCUUUCUCAGCCUCUGGAAUCUCCUUGGGCUUCCGCUCAGCAGGGGGUUGGAACAGGAUGAUCGUGGAGGUCCUGGUCAGGCCAGGCUGUUCCAUGAUUCCAUGA
Molecule: long non-coding RNA, 405 nt
Filed under: Numida meleagris (helmeted guineafowl)
Lineage: Eukaryota; Metazoa; Chordata; Aves; Galliformes; Numididae
Description: lncRNA (ENSNMEG00000006125.1)
Source: RNAcentral